GACGAACGCUGGCGGCGUGCUUAACACAUGCAAGUCGAACGGAAAGGCCCUGCUUUUGUGGGGUGCUCGAGUGGCGAACGGGUGAGUAACACGUGAGUAACCUGCCCUUGACUUUGGGAUAACUUCAGGAAGCUGGGGCUAAUACCGGAUAGGAGCUCCUGCUGCAUGGUGGGGGUUGGAAAGUUUCGGCGGUUGGGGAUGGACUCGCGGCUUAUCAGCUUGUUGGUGGGGUAGUGGCUUACCAGGGCUUUGACGGGUAGCCGGCCUGAGAGGGUGACCGGCCACAUUGGGCCUGAGAUACGGCCCAGACUCCUACGGGAGGCAGCAGUGGGGAAUAUUGCACAAUGGGCGGAAGCCUGAUGCAGCAACGCCGCGUGCGGGAUGACGGCCUUCGGGUUGUAAACCGCUUUCGCCUGUGACGAAGCGUGAGUGACGGUAAUGGGUAAAGAAGCACCGGCUAACUACGUG
This 468-nucleotide ribosomal RNA is filed under the name uncultured bacterium. Its description in RNAcentral is "partial 16S ribosomal RNA". It matches the Rfam family "Bacterial small subunit ribosomal RNA", at positions 28 to 507 of the family's 1533-position model. The record is from RNAcentral.